Molecule: ribosomal RNA, 460 nt
Filed under: uncultured bacterium
Lineage: Bacteria
Description: partial 16S ribosomal RNA
Rfam family: Bacterial small subunit ribosomal RNA
Source: RNAcentral
CCUACGGGUGGCAGCAGUGAGGAAUAUUGGUCAAUGGACGGAAGUCUGAACCAGCCAUGCCGCGUGCAGGAAGACGGCUCUAUGAGUUGUAAACUGCUUUUGUACAAGGGUAAACCUGAAUACGUGUAUUCAGCUGAAAGUACUGUAAGAAUAAGGAUCGGCUAACUCAGUGCCAGCAGCCGCGGUAAUACGGAGGAUCCAAGCGUUAUCCGGAUUUAUUGGGUUUAAAGGGUGCGUAGGCGGAUGGAUAAGUUAGAGGUGAAAUGUCCGAGCUUAACUCGGGAACUGCCUCUAAUACUGUUGAGCUAGAGAGUAGAUGCGGUAGGCGGAAUGUAUGGUGUAGCGGUGAAAUGCUUAGAGAUGAGACAGAACACCGAUGGCGAAGGCAGCUUAUCAAUCUAUAUCUGACGUUGAGGCACGAAAGCGUGGGGAGCAAACAGGAUUAGAUACCAUAGUAGUC